CCCCUAUGUGUGUGUGCUUGUGGUGGGGAGGGGCUGAUGGCAGCAGCAGCUGAUCGGGACAGUAUCUACAGUGAUACGUACAGUCAUGUCAGAAUCUCUAAAACACCAGAAAAAUCUCCAAAAACACAAGAUAAACCCAUACUAUUCCGAGGUGAGAUGCAUCUGCAUGUGGUGGAGAAGAAGACAUGGGCAGUCCGUGAACGUGAACGGAAAAUGAGGCUCAACAAUCGGGGACCCAGAGGUUCACAAGGCAUCGUGGAAAGCGGAAUGAUGCGUGAGCACGACGGUGGCAGAGAUGGUGGACCUGGAGAUACGGACAACAGGCGUAUUGUUCGAUACCCUGACAGUCACCAGCUAUUUGUCAGAAAUCUUCCACAUGACACCGAUGAGAGCGAGCUCAAAGAAAUAUUCAUGGGUAGGUUUUUUUGCAAAACACCAGUAGUUUCACUAGUCUAAAUAAAGAUAUGCUA
This 470-nucleotide long non-coding RNA is filed under the name Gouania willdenowi (blunt-snouted clingfish). RNAcentral's name for it is "lncRNA (ENSGWIG00000013723.1)". The record is from RNAcentral. Lineage: Eukaryota; Metazoa; Chordata; Actinopteri; Blenniiformes; Gobiesocidae.